UAAUUAAAGGUCCGGCCUGCCCGAUGAUGAAUUUCAAUGGCUGCGGUAUUUUGACCGUACAAAGGUAGCAUAAUCAUUAGUUUCUUGAUUGGAAGCUGGUAUGAAUGGCUUUAUGAGAAAAAAACUGUCUCUGCUUAAUUUUUUAAGAAUUUUAUAUUUAAGUUAAAAAGCUUAAAUUAUGUUUAAAGACGAGAAGACCCUAUAGAGUUUAAUAAUUUAUUAAAGUUAUUAAUUUUGGAAUUUUUAUUUAUUUAAUUUUUUAUAAUUAUUUUAUUGGGGUGAUAAAAAAAUUUAAUAAACUUUUUUUAUUUAUUUACAUUUUUUUAUGAUUAAUUGAUCCAUUAUUUGUGAUUAUAAGAUUAAAUUACCUUAGGGAUAACAGCGUUAUUUUUUUGGAGAGUUCUAAUCGAUAAAAAAGUUUGCGACCUCGAUGUUGGAUUAAAAUUUACUAUUGGCGCAGAAGUUGAUAAGUUGGGUCUGUUCGACCUUUAAAAUUUUACAUGAUCUGAGUUUAAACCGGUGUGAGCCAGGUUGGUUUCUAUCUUUAAUUGGAUUUGAUAUUUUAGUACGAAAGGACCAAAUAUUGGUAAAAUUUAUUUUUUUUUGAAUUAUAUUGUUACUUUGGCAGAAUAGUGCAUUAAAUUUAGAAUUUAAACAUGUAAUUUAUACAGGUAAUACUUGUUAUUUAUAGAUUAUUUAUUAAUUUUUGUUAGAAUAAUUAUUUUAAUUAUUUGUGUUUUAGUAGGA
Molecule: ribosomal RNA, 747 nt
Filed under: Hydrophilidae sp. SLE0102
Lineage: Eukaryota; Metazoa; Arthropoda; Insecta; Coleoptera; Hydrophilidae
Description: partial 16S ribosomal RNA
Rfam family: Bacterial large subunit ribosomal RNA (bases 1-569)
Source: RNAcentral